UCCGGGAUAGGCUAGUUCGGUCCAGACUGUAGGACUGUGGAUCCUACGACCCCGGUUCAAAUCCGGGUCCCGGAC
RNAcentral lists this transfer RNA (75 nucleotides) under Candidatus Thorarchaeota archaeon. RNAcentral describes it as "tRNA-His". It matches the Rfam family "tRNA". Rfam says of the family: Transfer RNA (tRNA) molecules are approximately 80 nucleotides in length. Their secondary structure includes four short double-helical elements and three loops (D, anti-codon, and T loops). Further hydrogen bonds mediate the characteristic L-shaped molecular structure. tRNAs have two regions of fundamental functional importance: the anti-codon, which is responsible for specific mRNA codon recognition, and the 3' end, to which the tRNAs corresponding amino acid is attached (by aminoacyl-tRNA synthetases). tRNAs cope with the degeneracy of the genetic code in two manners: having more than one tRNA (with a specific anti-codon) for a particular amino acid; and 'wobble' base-pairing, i.e. permitting non-standard base-pairing at the 3rd anti-codon position. The record is from RNAcentral. Lineage: Archaea; Promethearchaeati; Candidatus Thorarchaeota. RNAcentral also lists the same sequence under 2 other names.